Molecule: ribosomal RNA, 377 nt
Filed under: Prymnesium parvum
Lineage: Eukaryota; Haptophyta; Prymnesiales; Prymnesiaceae
Description: partial Bacterial large subunit ribosomal RNA
Rfam family: Bacterial large subunit ribosomal RNA
Source: RNAcentral
AACCCGGGGAACUGAAACAUCUAAGUACCCGGAGGAAGAGAAAACAAAAGUGAUUCCGUUAGUAGUGGCGAGCGAACGCGGAUUAGCCCAAACCGGAGCUGUUACGGCAGCUCCGGGGUUGUAGGACCACGACAUUCGAAACACAAUGAACUAGAACGCCUUGGAAAAGGCGGCCAUAGACGGUGAUAGCCCGGUAUAGGCAAGGCGUGCGUAGAUAGUGGUAUCCUGAGUAGUGCGGGACACGAGUAAUCCUGUAUGAAUCAAGCGGGACCAUCCGCUAAGGCUAAAUACUCCUGAGAGACCGAUAGUGAACAAGUACCGUGAGGGAAAGGUGAAAAGCACCCCGAUUAGGGGAGUGAAACAGUACCUGAAACCGG